This 482-nucleotide ribosomal RNA is filed under the name uncultured bacterium. RNAcentral describes it as "partial 16S ribosomal RNA". It matches the Rfam family "Bacterial small subunit ribosomal RNA", at positions 30 to 507 of the family's 1533-position model. The record is from RNAcentral.
AUUGAACGCUGGCGGCAUGCUUUACACAUGCAAGUCGAACGGCAGCGCGGGGCAACCUGGCGGCGAGUGGCGAACGGGUGAGUAAUAUAUCGGAACGUACCCAGAAGUGGGGGAUAACGUAGCGAAAGUUACGCUAAUACCGCAUACGAUCUACGGAUGAAAGUAGGGGACCGCAAGGCCUUAUGCUUUUGGAGCGGCCGAUAUCUGAUUAGCUAGUUGGUGAGGUAAAGGCUCACCAAGGCGACGAUCAGUAGCUGGUCUGAGAGGACGACCAGCCACACUGGAACUGAGACACGGUCCAGACUCCUACGGGAGGUAGCAGUGGGGAAUUUUGGACAAUGGGCGCAAGCCUGAUCCAGCAAUGCCGCGUGAGUGAAGAAGGCCUUCGGGUUGUAAAGCUCUUUUGUCAGGGAAGAAACGGUAGAGGCUAAUAUCCUUUGCUAAUGACGGUACCUGAAGAAUAAGCACCGGCUAACUACGUG